AUUAGAACAACUUUUGAACAUUGGCUAACAGAUUUCUAAGAAAUGAGUGCUGUUCAGUUUACAUAUUGAGCAAUCCCUCAUUUGUAAGCAUGUUAUCGGGCAUUUGCCCAUGUGGUUGGAGCUCCGGCUUUCUGCAUUCGUGCCCCACAUGGUUGUUAUGUGGGCAUUUUCUAAAGAAGCGGUGGUUUAGGGGUGGAACGGGAAGAGCCAGAGUUUGCUAUUGGGACUCAGUUUUAGCAAUUUUAUUGGAUUUUUGGUUACUUUAAAGAAUGAUGGGCGUCGUGUACUAUAGGUUGUGUAACCCCAUGUUAUUGGGUCUUUACAGGGUGAAUGCCUUGAGGUUUGUUGUAUGCGACUGGUGUUUUUCAAGUCCCAUUAAGAAAAGUAAGUGUAGAGGAGAAAAGUGUAGGAGUUACGGUGGAAGGAUAGGAAGAGGUAAGUGGGAGUGAGUGUGGAGCUCUGCAGGAAAUCAAGAAGGAUUGAAAGGUGUGGAAUUGAGUCGCGGCUCCACCUUCCCUUGGAGUGUGAGAGGCAGGGUGAGGGUAGAAGAUGCUUAGGGUAAAAGAGGGGGGAGAUUAAAGUGCCUGUGACUGUGCUAUGUGCUCAGAAGGCAUGUUAACAGGAUGGAUUAGGGUGAUUGGUGCCUGAUGAGGGUGGUGCUUCACCACAGUAGAGUUGUCUCCCUCCAGCCAGGGGUUCCAAAUUUUGUGAAAUUGUUUGGAUGUGUCAUGGAUUUGCAAGGUGAGGUUGUCCAUUUCUGUGCUGUAUUGUAUUUUUGUUACUAUAGCUGUUAAUCUUGGGAUGAUAGUGGUGGACCAUUGUUGUCCGAUUGCUCUGCGGGUGGCUAAUGUUAUGCGUGCUUGUAAAGCCCUUGUAAAGAUGUCCAAGGGUUUUGAUAGCAAGAGUGCCCAUGUGUCCAGGGGGCAGGGUUGGCAACUUACAUUUAAUGUAAGUAAGUCAUUGUACAGAAUACUGGUAAGACCUCACUUGGAGUAUUGUACACAGUACCGGAGACCAUAUCUCCAGAAGGAUAUUGAUACUUUGGAAAGAGUUCAGAGAAGGGCUACUAAACUGGUUCAUGGAUUGCAGGAUAAAACUUACCAGAAAAGGUUAAAGAAUCUUAACAUGUAUAGCUUGGAGGAAAGAUGAUACACAGGGGGGAUAUGAUAGAAACAUUUAAAUACAUAAAGGGAAUCAACAUAGUAAAGGAGUAGACUAUAUUUAACAGAAGAAAAACUACCACAACAAGAGGACAGUGUCUUAAAUAAGAGGGGCAAAGGUUUAAAAAUAAUUUCAGGAAGUAUUACUUUAAUGCAUGGAAUAGCCUUCCAGCUGAAGUGUUAGAGGUUAAUACAGCGAGGGAGUUUAAGCAUAAGGCUAUUCUAUACUUAAUGUAUGGCCAGGGACUAAUGAAAGUAUUUAGAAAAAUUGGGCAGACUAGAUGGGACUGCGAUCACAUUCUAUGUUUCUCCAAACCUGCCUGUUUCUAUAAAGGACUGAAUAUAUUGCUCUCCACUUUGGUACUAAUCUGUUACACUGGUCCAUGCCCACGUAACCUCCAAUGUUCUCGAACUUACAUUGGUCUGCAGCUCAG
This 1594-nucleotide long non-coding RNA is filed under the name Pelobates cultripes (western spadefoot toad). The record is from RNAcentral. Lineage: Eukaryota; Metazoa; Chordata; Amphibia; Anura; Pelobatidae.